GAUGAAGAACGUAGCGAAAUGCGAUAAGUAAUGUGAAUUGCAGAAUUCAGUGAAUCAUCGAAUCUUUGAACGCACAUUGCGCCCGCCAGUAUUCUGGCGGGCAUGCUUGUUCGAGCGUCAUUUCAACCCUCAAGCCCCCGGGCUUGGUGUUGGGGAUCGGCGUGCCCUCGCGGCGCGCCGUCCCCUAAAUCUAGUGGCGGUCUCGCUGUAGCUUCCUCUGCGUAGUAGCAACACUCGCACUGGAUCGCAGCGCGGCCACGCCGUUAAACCCCCCACUUCUGAAAGUUUGACCUCGGAUCAGGUAGGAAUACCCGCUGAACUUAAGCAUAUCAAUAAGCGGAGGA
RNAcentral lists this unclassified non-coding RNA (344 nucleotides) under soil metagenome. RNAcentral's name for it is "partial contains 5.8S ribosomal RNA, internal transcribed spacer 2, and large subunit ribosomal RNA". The stretch from base 1 to 120 matches the Rfam family "5.8S ribosomal RNA", at positions 35 to 154 of the family's 154-position model. The record is from RNAcentral.